GACGAACGCUGGCGGCGUGCUUAACACAUGCAAGUCGAACGGGCUUCUGGGGUUCUGGCUUUUUUGGUUGGGGUUCUGGGGGUUAGUGGCGAACGGGUGAGUAACACGUGAGUAACCUGCCCUUCACUUCUGGAUAACCGCUUGAAAGGGUGGCUAAUACGGGAUGUUUCUGGGUCUGUCGCAUGGCGGGUUCGGGAAAGAUGGCACUGUUUGGUGUUUUUGGUGGGGGAUGGGCUCGCGGCCUAUCAGCUUGUUGGUGGGGUGAUGGCCUGCCAAGGCUUUGGCGGGUAGCCGGCCGGAGGGGGUGGGCGGUCACACGGGGAAUGAGAUACGGCCCAGACUCCUAGGGGGGGCAGGAGGGGGGAAUAUUGCACAGUGGGCGGAAGCCUGAUGCAGGGGCGUCGCGUGGGGGAUGGGGGCCUUGGGGUUGUGAACCUCUUUCGCCGGUGGGGAAGGCCUUGCCCGGGUGGGGGGGUUGACGGUAGCGGGGUUAAUGGAAGCGCCGGCUAACUACGU
Molecule: ribosomal RNA, 516 nt
Filed under: uncultured bacterium
Lineage: Bacteria
Description: partial 16S ribosomal RNA
Rfam family: Bacterial small subunit ribosomal RNA
Source: RNAcentral